UACGUAGGGGGCAAGCGUUGUCCGGAUUUAUUGGGCGUAAAGAGCGUGUAGGCGGCUAGGUAGGUCGGCUGUGAAAACUCGAGGCUCAACCUCGAGAUGUCGGCCGAAACCAUCUGGCUAGAGUCCGGAAGAGGAGAGUGGAAUUCCCGGUGUAGCGGUGAAAUGCGCAGAUAUCGGGAGGAACACCGGUGGCGAAGGCGGUUCUCUGGGCCUUACCUGACGCUGAGGAGCGAAAGCGUGGGGAGCGAACAGG
This 253-nucleotide ribosomal RNA is filed under the name uncultured bacterium. Its description in RNAcentral is "partial 16S ribosomal RNA". It matches the Rfam family "Bacterial small subunit ribosomal RNA", at positions 524 to 776 of the family's 1533-position model. The record is from RNAcentral.